GACCGGUUAGCUCGGUCAGUUGAGUGUAGCACUAACAACGCUGAGAUCGUGGGUUUGAUUCCCGUUCGGUCC
This 72-nucleotide transfer RNA is filed under the name Apaloderma vittatum (bar-tailed trogon). It matches the Rfam family "tRNA". From Rfam's summary of the family: Transfer RNA (tRNA) molecules are approximately 80 nucleotides in length. Their secondary structure includes four short double-helical elements and three loops (D, anti-codon, and T loops). The record is from Rfam by way of RNAcentral. Lineage: Eukaryota; Metazoa; Chordata; Aves; Trogoniformes; Trogonidae.